This 273-nucleotide long non-coding RNA is filed under the name Ananas comosus (pineapple). RNAcentral's name for it is "long non-coding RNA (ACOM_LNC015780)". The record is from RNAcentral. Lineage: Eukaryota; Viridiplantae; Streptophyta; Magnoliopsida; Poales; Bromeliaceae.
UUUUAGAUCCAAGGAACUAUUUCUUUUCUCUUUUUGUUUUUUUGAGAGAGAUAAGUAGCACGCUGGACACUUUGUUUAUUUCAUUUAGAAAUAAACUUAACUAGAAAUGUGAAUUAACUAGGAUUCGAACUUGGAUCUCGGGUACCAACCACCAAACCUUUUGCCACUUGUUAUAGGGACGGUCGGUUCAAGGAACUAUUUCUUAUUUGUAUAUUUUGUGGGGUUAAACUAUUAAGAAUUAAGUAAUGUAAAUUUUUUUUAUUUUCUAAAAUU